This 30-nucleotide non-coding RNA is filed under the name Homo sapiens (human). The record is from RNAcentral. Lineage: Eukaryota; Metazoa; Chordata; Mammalia; Primates; Hominidae.
UAAGCCCUAACCCUGAGAUUCUGAUUCCCC